GGGAUUGAGACACUUUAUGUUUCCAAUAUUUCAUUUAAAAAACUUCAUCUCUCAACAAUUAACCAAAGUUGCUGAAGCUACUCAUGUUGGGGUCCUACCAGUCAAAACUGGCCGAGCACAUUUUUUGAGUUAUUGGUUUGACCUGUGCGGCAGUGAGAGAGAAUAGUUCAAAAACUAAUUGAUAUGUUGCGAAUUGUUAGCUGGAAGUUUGAAUCUUGUUGCAAUUAGCACUUUGGAUAAAUUGACUGAACUUUUAUAAUUUUGAUUCAAGGCAAUAUUCAUGAUGUUAAUUGGUGAUUUACAAAUUGAAUUUUGUUUAGGAGAAAUAUGUAUAUUUAUAUGUAUAUAUAGUAGUGUAGAAUUAAGUGCCAAACUACACCAAAUCCAUAUAAAUUACUUUGAUGUGGAGGAGUUUGUAUCCAUUUAAUACUUCAUGCUAGUAUCAACUAGGAUUUGGAAGGAGUAUUA
RNAcentral lists this long non-coding RNA (468 nucleotides) under Physcomitrium patens. Its description in RNAcentral is "long non-coding RNA (PPAT_LNC008678)". The record is from RNAcentral. Lineage: Eukaryota; Viridiplantae; Streptophyta; Bryopsida; Funariales; Funariaceae.